UACGUAGGGGCUAGCGUUAUCCGGAAUUACUGGGCGUAAAGGGUGCGUAGGUGGUUUCUUAAGUCAUAGGUGAAAGGCUACGGCUCAACCGUAGUAAGCCUUUGAAACUGGGAAACUUGAGUGCAGGAGAGGAGAGUGGAAUUCCUAGUGUAGCGGUGAAAUGCGUAGAUAUUAGGAGGAACACCAGUUGCGAAGGCGGCUCUCUGGACUGUAACUGACACUGAGGCGCGAAAGCGUGGGGAGCAAACAGGAUUAGAUACCCUGGUAGUCCCUGAG
RNAcentral lists this ribosomal RNA (276 nucleotides) under uncultured prokaryote. RNAcentral's name for it is "partial 16S ribosomal RNA". It matches the Rfam family "Bacterial small subunit ribosomal RNA", at positions 524 to 801 of the family's 1533-position model. The record is from RNAcentral.